Brachypodium distachyon (stiff brome) is the source of this 1995-nucleotide RNA transcript. It is a transcript of the gene named protein POOR HOMOLOGOUS SYNAPSIS 1, with no coding region annotated. The record is from RefSeq and is a predicted model, not a curated record. NCBI's taxonomy places the organism in Eukaryota, Viridiplantae, Streptophyta, Magnoliopsida, Poales, Poaceae. The transcript has 12 exons.
GUAUCCAUGGUUAGCAUGUCCAUAUCAGUUUUGAACCAAGUAUACAGGCAUCUUGGGCCGGAUCCGGCACUACGAGACUCAGACCCAUCAGACCCGCGGGUAUAAUUCUUACCAGACCCGUAUGCUAGUCGGAUCUAUAUCCGUCGGAUAUUCAGGGAUCCAGUACCAAUUGCCAUCCAUACUAAGAAAAGAGGUCCGAUACCGGUAGUACAUCUUGAUAGCUCAUCUCAAAAGGAAAAUUAGAUAGAUCCACCUCUACUGUCCGACACCAAAUUCUGCUGUAAAAACCCCAACACACCGAAAGCCGCAAAUACCACAUUCUCGGCAUCAUCGUUGGCGGCAUGGCGGGCGCCGGCGCCGGCGCCAGCGACAAGAGCAGGACGCUGCUCAGGUCGCCUAGUGAGGCCGCGGUGGGCAAACGAAGGAGGGAGAAGUGGGAGGUGGAAUUCGCGCGCUACUUCCUGAGGCCGCGGCGCGGACCGGCGACGCCGCCACCACCCGGCCUUCGUUAUAUAUCUCGCGGCAAGCUCCGCCACCAGGGCACAUGGCUCCCGGCUGCCAGCCCCGCGACGCUCCGCAUCGCUCCACCCAGCCACUCCUUUGCUGCACCCGUCCUCACCGUUUCCAUCGGCGACGUCGUCUACGAGGAGCACCAUGUGUACACCCUCAACUUUUCAUGGCCGCAGGUUGCAUGCAUGACACAGUGCCCAAUUAGAGGGAGCAGGGUGGUAUUCAUGAGCUUUUGUGAUCAAUCCAAACAGAUUCAGAAGUUUGCUGUACGUUUCCCGCACCUCAGUGAUGCAGAGUCAUUCUUGAAUAGUGUGAAGGAAUGCUCAAGAAACACCAUAGAUAUCUUAACAUCCAGAAGUGACUAUGUGUGUGAAGAUUCGUCAUCGUCUGAAUAUACUGCUUCCGAUGGGCUUCAAUACAGGCUUGAUGAGGCGACAAACUUUGAGGAGCCAACUUCUUAUCACGGGACAUAUGCCCCUGCAGUAAGCUACCACGAGGAACCUGACCAGCCUGUUCUUCGGUCUCCCCGUGCAACAAAUAUCGACGAAAUCUACUCUGGUUUCCCUCAUUGUUACUCUGAAGUGCUUACAAGUUAUUCUAUUAAAAAUGAGAAAGAUGGGGAAGAACCCUGUCUGGCGACUGCAACUGACCAUGCUCCUGAAAAUGCCUACAUACUGGAUGGAUGUCAUGAUGGAAUGAUUUCAGCAGUUUCAGUUGCUGGUAAUGAAUCUAUUGCUGAUAAAGGAAAGGUUGGUGGUAAGGAGGUUGAUGCUAAUAAAGAAACAUGUGAUCUUUUGGCAGGGAUGAAGACAUAUGGGACCGACGACUCUUUUCAUGAUAUGUUGUCCAAGCUCGACAAAGCCAUUGAUGAACUGGGUGGUGACAUGUUACUUUAGGUAGUGAAACCUCAUGUGAUGCUCGAAGGCCUUUACUUGCCUCUGACCAUAGUUUCGCCUAGUGUCCACUGCAGAUUUUCCGGACUUGUGAGCAACUACUCAUUGGCCUUACGAUGCCAGAUCGAUUUCAUUAACACAAGGAAAGCACGGGAUUGUUUGCUGAUGUAUUAUUUGAAACCUCGUAGCCUCAAGAAUCUGAUGCGCAUGCAUCUAUUUCUUCUUGACUUAUCGGCGGGAACUGUUAUGUGGGAGGUCAGCGUCUCAGCGAGAAUGCUCGAGAACUGUUAUGUGGCCGUGUGCACUUUUCGAAAAAAGAAGAAGCGAGAAUGCUCGGUUCUGUGUUAAUGGAGAAGCUGGUUUGUUAGUUCCCAACCUGGGCACCUGGCGAUUAUGGAUGUCGUCUUGCAUGCUUCACUUGGUGCAUGCUUCGGAAAGCAUGUUAUCAAAGUGACGUGAUCCAUGUGAUCAACUUACCUGGAAAAGAACUAUGGAACGGGUACUUAUUGUGAGGACUCUAAUUAAAUUGCUGAAAUUUGCGGAUGAAAUUUUUUAGGGAAAUCCAAAUGAAAUUUUAGGAACUAAGAUCUCA